AUUUUGUAACAAAAUAUAGUUAUCUUGAAUGCUGGUUCUUGGAUUCGUAUGUGCCAUGAAGACCAUUUACAGUGGAGAGUAUUCUUUUUUUUUUUUUUUUUUACAGAACUGAUUUAAUACUUGAAGAAAAGUGCUAGCUGUCAAGUGGCAAAGACGGCUACAGUUGCAAGCAAUGCUUUUAUUAAAGUUGCCAAAUGACAAACAAAUCCGAGGAACACUUCUCUUGAACUUGGACAAGGACAAACGGGUCAUGGGGGAACCUGGAACGUAUCCCAGGAGGCAUCGGGCACAAGAUUGCUCUGUGUAUGUGUUUCCUUGUUAUUUGUUCAACCUCCUACAAACACCCACAACCACGGUCACAAGGAGACUGGAGCCUAUCCCAGGAAACUUGGGGCACAGGGCAAGGGACACCCUGGGGUGCCAAUCCAUCGUACGGCGUAAUCACAAACACAUUUACAUAGUACAGACAAUUUGGAAAUACCAAUCAGCCUGCAAUGCUUGUCUUUGGACUGGGGAGGAAACCGGAAGUACCCAGAGGAAACCCCUGAAGCAAGGGGAGAACAGGCAAACUCCAGAAUCAAAAAAUGGAGGUACAAGGCAACCAUGCUAACCACUAAGCCACCGUGACCCCUGUAUCAUGAAAUGGGAGAUGAGUUGGAUGCAAGUACAGAUUUAUUUUUAAUAAAG
Molecule: long non-coding RNA, 687 nt
Organism: Ictalurus punctatus (channel catfish)
Lineage: Eukaryota; Metazoa; Chordata; Actinopteri; Siluriformes; Ictaluridae
Source: Ensembl